RNAcentral lists this ribosomal RNA (369 nucleotides) under uncultured bacterium. RNAcentral's name for it is "bacterial SSU rRNA". It matches the Rfam family "Bacterial small subunit ribosomal RNA", at positions 526 to 896 of the family's 1533-position model. The record is from RNAcentral.
GGAGSGUKMARAGCGUUGUCCGGAUUUAUUGGGUUUAAAGGGUGCGUAGGUGGCUUUUUAAGUCAGUGGUGAAAUACAGCCGCUCAACGGUUGAGGUGCCAUUGAUACUGAAGAGCUUGAAACAAGUGGAGGCUGCCGGAAUGGAUGGUGUAGCGGUGAAAUGCAUAGAUAUCAUCCAGAACACCGAUUGCGAAGGCAGGUGGCUACGUUUGAUUUGACACUGAGGCACGAAAGCAUGGGGAGCAAACAGGAUUAGAUACCCUGGUAGUCCAUGCCGUAAACGAUGAGGACUCGCUGUUGGCCUGUCAAGGGUCAGCGGCUUAGGGAAACCGUUAAGUCCUCCACCUGGGGAGUACGCCGGCAACGGUG